ACGGAAGGCAGCAGUGGGGAAUAUUGCACAAUGGGGGAAACCCUGAUGCAGCGACGCCGCGUGAGUGAAGAAGUUAUUCGUAAUGUAAAGCUCUAUCAGCAGGGAAGAAAAUGACGGUACCUGACUAAGAAGCCCCGGCUAACUACGUGCCAGCAGCCGCGGUAAUACGUAGGGGGCAAGCGUUAUCCGGAUUUACUGGGUGUAAAGGGAGCGUAGACGGUCUGGCAAGUCUGAUGUGAAAGGCAGGGGCUCAACUCCUGGACUGCAUUGGAAACUGUCAGUCUUGAGUGUCGGAGAGGUAAGCGGAAUUCCUAGUGUAGCGGUGAAAUGCGUAGAUAUUAGGAGGAACACCAGUGGCGAAGGCGGCUUACUGGACAAUAACUGACGUUGAGGCUCGAAAGCGUGGGGAGCAAACAGGAUUAGAUACCCUGGUA
This 434-nucleotide ribosomal RNA is filed under the name uncultured Lachnospiraceae bacterium. Its description in RNAcentral is "bacterial SSU rRNA". It matches the Rfam family "Bacterial small subunit ribosomal RNA", at positions 341 to 792 of the family's 1533-position model. The record is from RNAcentral. Lineage: Bacteria; Bacillati; Bacillota; Clostridia; Lachnospirales; Lachnospiraceae.